UACAGAGGGUGCGAGCGUUAAUCGGAUUUACUGGGCGUAAAGCGUGUGUAGGCGGUUCGUUAAGUCGGAUGUGAAAGCCCUGGGCUCAACCUGGGAAUUGCACUCGAUACGGGCGAGCUAGAGUACGGUAGAGGGCGGCGGAAUUCCGGGUGUAGCGGUGAAAUGCGUAGAUAUCCGGAGGAACACCGAUGGCGAAGGCAACCGCCUGGGCCUGUACUGACGCUGAGACACGAAAGCGUGGGGAGCAAACAGG
RNAcentral lists this ribosomal RNA (253 nucleotides) under uncultured bacterium. RNAcentral describes it as "partial 16S ribosomal RNA". It matches the Rfam family "Bacterial small subunit ribosomal RNA", at positions 524 to 776 of the family's 1533-position model. The record is from RNAcentral.